This 849-nucleotide long non-coding RNA is filed under the name Mytilus galloprovincialis (Mediterranean mussel). Lineage: Eukaryota; Metazoa; Mollusca; Bivalvia; Mytilida; Mytilidae. The record is from RNAcentral.
UGUGGUAUGAUUUACAAUGAGACAACUGUCCACAAGAGACAAAACGACACAGAAAUUAGAAUAUACAAAAAUAUGAAAUACAAAAAGAGGUUGAUCUUUUGCUCUUUUAACAUGUUCAUGUUUAAAGCUAACUAUAUGGUAUGUGUUUUCUCAUUAUUGAAUGACUUGCAUAUCUUACAUUAAAAUAGUUGACAUCCUUGUAGUUGUUGAGAUUUUUGUUGGAGAGUUGUCUCAUUGGCAUUCAUACCGCGUCUUCUUGUUUUUAUAUUAGUAUAGAUAAUUACUUUCUGCGGAAGAGCAGAUUUUUGCAGCCUAUUCAAUUAUUGACAAAACACUAAAAUUGAGAAUGGAAAUGGGGAAUGUGUUAAAGAGACAACAGCCCGACCAAAUAGCAGACAACAGCCGAAGGCUGCCAAUGGGUCUUCAGUGCAGCGAGAAACUCCCACAGAUCCGAAAACUGUGCUCUAGCUACAAAUAUUACGUCAUUCUUUUAUCAAGUUUCUGAGAAUAAGAUUACGGAAAUAUUUGUUUGAAUGACAAGGAGAUUGCAAUAUUUCUUCCAAGAGUUAGGUAUAAUGAAAUCUUGAGUUUGGUUACUUCCUGUUUUUGAAUCUCUGUCUUAUUAAAACGGAUAUAAUACUGGAUAUAUAUUGAUCACAGAUAAUGUGGUGGCAACAAACAGACCCAAUUGAACGGCAUCUGAAAUCUAGCAUAAACAUGUUAAACUAAUGAAAUAUUCUUCAAAGUUUACACCUUCAAUUAUGAUAAGCAAUGUACAAUUUGUAAUUGUAAUUGACAUGCAUGUGAUCGAAAAAAAAAUAUUAGUAAAAUGAUUAAAGAUGGGAAAUU